This 55-nucleotide non-coding RNA is filed under the name Desulfobacteraceae bacterium. RNAcentral describes it as "Li+-I sequence". It matches the Rfam family "nhaA-I RNA". Rfam says of the family: Acidobacteria, Alphaproteobacteria, Betaproteobacteria and Gammaproteobacteria, Verrucomicrobia, cand. division NC10. Downstream gene The record is from RNAcentral. Lineage: Bacteria; Pseudomonadati; Thermodesulfobacteriota; Desulfobacteria; Desulfobacterales; Desulfobacteraceae.
GGGCGUGACGACACUGUGUCGUCACAGGCAUUACGGGGGGUCGGGCCGCCUUUCG